CGGAUGGUUACUCUGUUUCAAAAUUAACAGACAAUCGAACUGUUAUUGGCGAACUAGAUAAAAUUUUUGAUGUCAUUCAGCCUGUUGACGAGGAGCGUGUGAAUGUUGUUAGCUCUGACAUCAAAGCAGCAGAUGAGGUCCCCGUUAAUGAUUCUGUCUCCCGUAGCAAAGCCGAUGAGACACCUGUUUCGAAUUUUACUAAAGACAUGUUUAAAACACCCGAUGAAGAUGUCAAC
Molecule: long non-coding RNA, 236 nt
Organism: Helianthus annuus (common sunflower)
Lineage: Eukaryota; Viridiplantae; Streptophyta; Magnoliopsida; Asterales; Asteraceae
Exons: 3
Source: RefSeq, a predicted model, not a curated record